GCGGGUAUAGUAUAUCGGCUAUUAUGCGGCUUUCCCAAAGCUGAGAGGAGGGUUCGACUCCCUCUACCCGCACCA
Molecule: transfer RNA, 75 nt
Filed under: Pseudomonadota bacterium
Lineage: Bacteria; Pseudomonadati; Pseudomonadota
Also listed under: 2 other names
Description: tRNA-Gly
Rfam family: tRNA
About the family: Transfer RNA (tRNA) molecules are approximately 80 nucleotides in length. Their secondary structure includes four short double-helical elements and three loops (D, anti-codon, and T loops).
Source: RNAcentral